CAAGUUCACCGAGGCCUCCAUCAAUAGCAUUGAUAUCAACAUCAAAGUCUACACAAGCUCCUCUGCAGUUUUCGGUUUUAAACCAACGCGCAUCUACAGUAGCAUUUCUAAGCCACGGCUGAACGACGAGAUUAAAGGAAAAAGAUACAUAAAGAUAACCGUCACAAAAGGGUUGAGUAGUGACUUUUCAGCAAAAUACAGGUGUAUGCUCAGGACAACAUUGAUCUGGCCGACAUACCGACACUUCAAGUUUGGAUCAUCGCAUGCAUUGUCGUUUCGUGCAUCAUCUUCGUCGUAAUUGUCGUUGUUGUGAUCGCAUGCAUGUGUAAAAAGUCACAUGGAUAUAGAGGCCAAGUGGUUGCACCAGCGGCACAUACCCAGGUCACCACAGCAACAGUCACACACCCGGGCCAGUACACUUAUCCGUAUCACUCUGGCGCAAUACCUCCGCCGCCCUCUUACAACCAACUGGAAUUGCAGCCACUCCCUUCACAACCCAGCCCGGCUUGGAGCACAAAUGGGCAUCGAUGUCAUGCUGUACACUCGUGGGGCCACUCUGUCCCAGUCGGUUGAUGUCAAAGACAGCCACACUGUUGUCUAGCUAGCAGUAACUGCAGAAUGCCAGAACCUCCCAAACUGACCCUUCUGCUGUAUCUCCGUCCCCAAACAGGCAAUACGCAGACCUAGAGCAUAGUUGUGAAGCAUAAAAGUUCAUACAACAUCGGUCAUAUUAGUUUUUUUUCACACUAAAAUUCCAUUGUUGUUACUGGUACUGGUAAGAUUUAUCGAAAUUAGAUCCAGUGUUACAGGUUUUCUCUCGCCAAAGUCAGAAGAAAAUUCAUUUCAUCCACUACGUUACAGCACGUUUAUCUUUACGCAAUGAAUAUAAGUCCUAAAACCCUAACAAUGGUGUCGUUUAAAACCUAAUAUUUUACAGCCGAUAGUUCCAGAUCCGCUGGACCUACCGUUUAAUACCAAUAGUCAGUGCGGCUAAGUACUGCUUGUUACGUCAGUACAUCUUUAGAUCAAUUGACCCAUAUUCGUGCAGCUAAUGCCUUAUAAUCCUGCAAUUGCACUGCACAAUACCCAGACCCCUUUUAAACCCAGGGGUUCUAGUUUUCUUAAUUUUUUUUUUAUCUACGGACAAACCAUGUUACCUGCGAUUUACUUUGGAAUUGGCAAUUGUGUUUGCGAAGUUGCUUUGUCCAUACCUACUCGCAAACUGUUUUAAUAUUUUUUAUUCUUCUACGUCAGUGUACUUUCCUGUUUUCCUAGAAUCCGCCUUUUUUCUGUGAGUGUUGUCCGUCAUAUAUCUACCCACCUUGUCAGAGAGAAUGUCCCUCUGCGCUGAUAGCUACGUAAUCUAGAUGAUGUUGGACAGAGCAAACUUGAUUUAUAGAAGAUGAUACUUACCCAGAUCUAAAAUCUGUUUCAGUCUUCCAAGGUUACCUUUCAGAUACCCAGUUUUAAUGAAGCGAAAUUGUGAACCUGGCCAAUCUAUAUCAGAGCUAAUAUUUAUAAUCAUGUAUUAUAAAUACCAGUGAUAUUGUCAGUAUCACUUCACAUGUUCGUUAUAUGGCGUUAUAAGACAUUAUAAUAAGAAAUCUAAUAAUUCCCCUUUCAUCAGACAUGUCUAAAAGUAAAUGUAGGCCUAUGUGACAAGGGCAUUUAAUAAAGUAGCCACGAUUCUUUCGUGAUUAAUACGACAUUUGUAUCAACGUGAUUACAAGCCUGUCAUACAGUACCACCUUGAGGCAUUCUAAUUCAAAUCUAAAGCAUCACAGCGAAGCAGUAAAUCGCAUGCUUUCUUCAUUGUCUCUUUCAUGCACAAACUCCCAUCAUAAACUCCGGUGUACGUUUUGUUCGUUUGUACAGGUGCUGUGUUUAUUUAUGUAAAAAUUACUGAUAAAUCCAAGAGUGAGAUAUUGAGCUUUAUAUCUUUAUAUACAUGACCAAAGAACAGUUGUGCUCUGUUUAUUUAUGAAAAAAAUUCCCAUAAAUGUAAGAGCGAGAUAUCUGACCUUUAUAUACGUGACAAAAGAAUAGCUAUGAUUACAUGAAGGCGGUGGACUGGAAAUCGCACAGAGCCGUCGUUAACCACGGGUGGCAGGGCUACAGGACCUCUGUCAGGAGACAUUUCCACGCCAGUGGGGGAACCAGCCGGUAUAGAGCUAUUGCACUCGUUCAGGCAUGAGACUUUGUUCUUAGGUAUGGGCUGUAAUUCUAUCAGGAAGCCUAUUUAUUAUACCCCUUAAAACCAUGCCAUUUAUGUAAGGGAUGAUACAAAAAUGAUUUCACGUAAAUGUUUAUGAAAUGUGAUAACAACACAGCAUCGUGGGUAAUUCUAGACCAGUGACGUCUAAUACAUCAGAGCAUUGUUUUUACACUAAUUAUACCUAUGACAUGGUGCAUGCUGUUACAUUUUAAACAUUUGCAUGUGUCCUCAGCCCUUUAGUAUGUACCAAGCUUCCGUGAUCCAGAGAAUUCCCAGAGAAAUAUGACGUCAUCUUCUAAAAGCUACGGACGGGUGGUAUAAAAAGGCAUCUCGGUAGUUACAGUUGGGGAAGUGGAGCUGGUUCUAUCAGAGUUAGCGGUAAAGCACUGUAACAGCUAGUUGCCCUCACAAGUUUUAACUAUGUACUGUGUAACGUAUAGCAGCUCUCGUCGUUUAACUUACUCCCGUGUGAGUUAUGUGUACUAAACACUUUGUUACUGCACUGAUAUUGUGCUUGAGUAUUUUCUCUCGUUGUGUUCGUCCUUUUAAAGACUUUUGUGAGCAUAUUCGUGUUAACUGUUAGGGCUGUGGACUUUGUCAUCGUUCCUCAUCUUGAUGAAGUUGUAUAGUGCCUUGUAAAAAGUACCUGUGUAUGGUUAUUUACUACCUUGUAAAAUAAAAUCUGCUGGUUUCUGUUUUGUGCUGCUUAGCAUUCUUGUAUUUUGUACAAGACCCUUUUCAUACAAGUAGUUAGGCCGUAACACAUGAACACUUGCAGAAUGAAGACCUAACUUCUGUAAAUUCAUAAGAGGCCGAAUUUCACAUCCUACGUAUGAAUAUUAUCGCAAAGAAAGAAGUUUUGCAUCAGCACUUUUUCUAUGAUUGCAAAUAGGGUGUAAUUAUGUUUUGAAGUGAGAUUGGCACUAAUGUGUGAAGGUUUUACCUAACAAAAUAUUUUACUCACCAAAUAACUAUUACUCUGAGUUGUUGUUUCAUGGUAAAUAUAUAUCUUUUAAUGAAAACAGUGUAUUUAUAUUCAUUCUAUUUUAAAGUGAUUAUAUGCAAUAAAUGGAAUCUUGCUGUUUGCUAAACAUGAUUUGAUGGAAUUUAAUAUAUUACCCAAUUUAUCAGUUAUUGUUAUUAACUCACGUAUAUAUGUAUAUGUCAAAUUCACUGCUCUAAAGUUAUUUGGCCUACUUGACGCAGGGCCUCGGUUUUCCUGAAACCCUUUUGUUAAGUCACCGUAAAGAGGCUACUAUUUUACUACGCUUAUAGACUGU
Molecule: long non-coding RNA, 3495 nt
Organism: Liolophura sinensis
Lineage: Eukaryota; Metazoa; Mollusca; Polyplacophora; Chitonida; Chitonidae
Exons: 4
Source: RefSeq, a predicted model, not a curated record